GUGCCUACGGGGGGCAGCAGUGAGGAAUAUUGGUCAAUGGCCGAGAGGCUGAACCAGCCAAGUCGCGUGAGGGAAGACGGCCCUACGGGUUGUAAACCUCUUUUGUCGGGGAGCAAAGAGAGUCACGUGUGACUCAUUGAGAGUACCCGAAGAAAAAGCAUCGGCUAACUCCGUGCCAGCAGCCGCGGUAAUACGGAGGAUGCGAGCGUUAUCCGGAUUUAUUGGGUUUAAAGGGUGCGCAGGCGGAGGUGCAAGUCAGCGGUCAAAUUGCGGGGCUCAAACCCGUACUGCCGUUGAAACUGCAU
This 305-nucleotide ribosomal RNA is filed under the name uncultured bacterium. RNAcentral's name for it is "bacterial SSU rRNA". It matches the Rfam family "Bacterial small subunit ribosomal RNA", at positions 335 to 638 of the family's 1533-position model. The record is from RNAcentral.